CGUAGCACAGCGUCGUCAUUCUGUUCUAGAACCUUCUGAGAACAUCGAUACUGCUGUGCGCUUUUGAUUGUGUUGGUUACCCCGUGACAAGUCGACAGUGUGCAGCUGCCCUCCAGCUCCUCUCCAUCUCCCUCUACUUCUAUCACAUCUGUCUUUACUGGCCCUUCUAUCCACUCUAUCUAUUAUUGGUUCUUUUCACCUCUCUCCUAUAACAUCUACCACUCAUCCCUUAAUAUAAGGUUUUCUAUCUCUCCUGUCAAAUCUAAUAAAUCUAUCUAAAUUUGAGGUUUUCUAUCAUUCUAUCCCUCUAAUUCUAUCCCGCUCUAUCCACAUUUGGUUCUGUUGCAAGUUACCCUCUGGUUCUGGUUCAAAUAUUAUCAUACCCAUUUGUUCUGGUUGGAAAGCUACAGAUUAUUGGUAUCUGUUUUGGAUUCAUUGGUUGAUUGGAACCUGAUCAUUCUGUUUUAUGGAUCUGUGAGUUUCUCUGCUCACACUUUUUCUACCUCUCUUGUCUCUCUCUCACACACAUUUGAUUUGGCCUUUUCAAUUGGCAAAAACCUUAUUGUAUUUUUGAAUUGUCCAUAUUGUAUCAAUAUUCUAUUUGGUAACAGUCAUAAUUAAAUAAAUUAUUAAGUAUUUUUUAGUUUGUUCAUUAAAUUAAUUGAAAAGACUGGAAACACAUAAAUAACACACAUUUUGUUUAACUUUUAUCACAAACAUUUGACUGUAAAAACUAAUUCAAAAUUAGAUCUGGUAAAUUUCCAAAUAUAUAAGUUGCUGUUACAAAGUGUAUCAUUGAAGAAAACAGUCUCUUGUUAAUGUACAUAACAAUAAAUUGAAGUCCAAAUCUAUAUUUAUACAAGAAAAGAGCUGUAGUUGUUCCUGGACCGUGUUGCUGUGGAGCUCUGUACCAUGUGGGAUAUAGAUACACACGCUUUGCUGACCAAAUGACUUAUGUUCCUAUAAUAUACUGCCUAAUUAUUGCAGCAAGCUGCCUAGACUUAACGAGCUAAAAGUAUGCUGCACGAGAACAGAGCCAAGGCUGCACACAGGUGGCCUGCAUCGUGCAAAGGAGGACAUGUUCCUCUGUGGGAUGGAGUAAGCAAGGACGGAGGACACCAAGACCUGGCACAGUCACAAUCCAUCAAAAGCAACAGCCCACUUUGUAGAGACAGAUGUUCGUGUGUGAUAUGUAACUGCCCUUGUUAAACUUCAAUAAAAGACAGGCAAAAGAGGAAGAGAGUCAGAGCUCUCUGGUGAGAGACAGACUGCGGAGUCUGCCUACGGAGUGAUGCUCUCCUCCUAUAGGAGCCUAUUGUGUGAACUUUAACUUGUGUUUGUGAAGUUAUUACUAUCUAUUGCAGUGAAGAAGUCCUCACCUGGGAGUGCACCUUGGAAGCACGACAAUUGGGGGCUCGUCCGGGA
Long non-coding RNA from Perca fluviatilis (European perch), 1425 nucleotides. RefSeq lists it as uncharacterized. The record is from RefSeq and is a predicted model, not a curated record. Lineage: Eukaryota; Metazoa; Chordata; Actinopteri; Perciformes; Percidae. The transcript has 4 exons.